GCGAAAGAUAUAUCGGGACGCUAAGUACGUGUAUCGUAGCUUUGACUAAUUCCAGUUCUAUGAUUAAAAUAUUCCGUCGUUCUCGAUAUAUCUAAUCGUACUCUCGCUGGCAUCAUAAUAGUUAAUACGCGUCAUCUGAGUAUCCGGAGUGUCAUGAUGGGGCCAACUUAGAACUAGGAUGCUAAAUUGCAAAGUCAGAGCGAAGAAAACAAGAUACGGGGAAUAUGAACAACGAUACAUCCACGUAUUUCUAGGUCUGUAGUAGAACGUGGCCGAUCUUGAGUUCCCGCUAUUUUGUAUUAUCACGGUCGCGAGUGUAGCGUCGUGAAGUGAAAUGCGACCGACGUGGCACGACGACCGGACGUUACGGAGGCUGAAUGCUGAGGACCUGGACAGAUGGAUAUCGUGGGAUAUCAACGCGCAAUGGUGAGCAUACAAUUUCAACGCUCACAAAGCGUUAUGUUUCGUAGUGCGUAAAA
This is a long non-coding RNA of Dinoponera quadriceps, 479 nucleotides long. RefSeq lists it as uncharacterized. The record is from RefSeq and is a predicted model, not a curated record. NCBI's taxonomy places the organism in Eukaryota, Metazoa, Arthropoda, Insecta, Hymenoptera, Formicidae. The transcript is spliced from 4 exons.